This is a non-coding RNA of Camellia sinensis, 1140 nucleotides long. The record is from RefSeq and is a predicted model, not a curated record. NCBI's taxonomy places the organism in Eukaryota, Viridiplantae, Streptophyta, Magnoliopsida, Ericales, Theaceae.
GCUCCUUAUAUAGGAGAUAUAGGUGUAGUAGGUGAAGUGGAGGUGGUAGUGGUGUAGGUGAAGUGGAGGUGGUAGUGGUGUAGUGGGUUAGGUUUAGUGGAGUAGGUGAGGUGGUAGUGGUGUAGGUGAAGAUAAAUUCUAACAGAUUGUUGUCAAAUUGAGUACUUGAUCAACACAGAGGAAUGGGGGGAUUUCACCACAGGCACAACAACCUGAUCUGCAAUUGUUGUUUAACCUGGAAGAAUUGAAACUCCAGAAAUUGGAUACUUUUGAAGGGAUAUGCCCAGGUGCACUUACUACUUCCAGCUGGGUGUGCUUCCCAAGGCUCAGAAGUUUGGUAGUUAACGCAUGUCCUGAAGUUUGGAGAAGCUUUUGUAUCAGCAUGUGAGAAACUGGAACAAGUAUUUGAUUUUGGUCUAUGGAAGUCCAUUCAUGUGGCAAACUGAAAUAUGUCUUCCAACCUUCCAUAGCUCAAGCUCUUUAUCUACUUGAAGUGCUUUGGGUAACUCGCUGUGAAGAAAUGGAGCAAAUUGUUGCUGCGAAGCAAAACAAAGGGCGUAAAGAAAAAGAAGAGAGAGUGGACUACAAGGUGGUUUCUGCACAGGAGGAGACGACUUUCCUUUUGAAUGACCAUCCUUGGAAAUACUUACAGUGAGAGACUGCCCCAAAAUGAAGACUUUCGCUGCCACUACUUCCUUUUGAAUCAGUUUGUGCAAAACUGUUUCAAAGCCACCAAAAGGCAAGACAGAAUAGUACUCUUGAAGAUGAAAUCCACGCUGACUCUUAAUUAGAUUGUGAACCAGCUUAUGAAUUUAUGAGGAAUAACUCUUAUGAUUGUCAACCAUAAAGAAUGUUGAGCUACUCUCUAUGGUUAUGUGAUGUCUACCUUACUUACGAUUUUAUUGUGUAAGGGCAUAUGCUUCCUAUGAUUUGUGUUUCUAAAUAAUUGUCUUGCUUUGCAAUAUCAAAACUACUACUCUAAAUAAAGGUAUGUUUAUCUAAUGUGCGCUAAAGAUUUGAAGAGUGAAUAAAGGGGGAAAAAAAGAACCCACUGUGUGUGUAAUUUUACUUUCUCUGCAUUGUAAUGGAGCUUGUAUACAAAAUUAUUUAUCUCAAUUAACAAUAUUGUACGUUUGUUUU